Molecule: long non-coding RNA, 228 nt
Organism: Hippocampus comes (tiger tail seahorse)
Lineage: Eukaryota; Metazoa; Chordata; Actinopteri; Syngnathiformes; Syngnathidae
Exons: 3
Source: RefSeq, a predicted model, not a curated record
AUCAGUCCGAGCUACCCGGAAGUGGCGUUGAAUGUCAUCCAGCCAGGCCAGGUCGUGCUGGGAGAACAUCAUAUCCAGUAGCUUUCGUACCACCAUCAGACCCAGGAUCUGCACACGGGAACCCAUGUUCUCACCAUCACGGGAAAGAUGAUAGCCAGGAAGGUGGACUUCAGGACCCAAAGGACAGCCAGGCAGGUGAUCUGAACCAAGGUGAAAAGGUGGACUCGG